UUGGGUUGGGGCGGGGGCGGAGUGGGGGCCAUUGAUACAGUGACAACUCCUUCGAGUGGCCAGUGGGCGGCGCCGGAGAGAUGCCCCUCCAGACACCGAGGCUGGUGGGGCUGGAGCAGGGUCUGUGUCCAAGGGGCAUAACUCGGCCGGGCCAAUAAGUCAUAGAGACGUGGAAAGUAACAUAGCAAGACGUCCUCCGCAGCUCCUACAAGCACACCCAAGAAGGUCCAAGGAAAGAGUUCCACACUAUUGCACACCCCAAGAGGAUAAAGCCAGGUGUUUUCUUCAAGAAGAAGUAUAUUUCUGUCCAAAAGAGCAAUUAGAAAAACUUUCACCAGCUUAGAAAACGGGAUGGAACCAAGCCUCCGGGUCCAUCUGCCCUGCAGCCUGGCACCCCCCCAUCCCAGGCUCAUCGCAAGUUCAGAGAGAGGCUGAUGAGGGGCUGGCCAGCCCACUGGAGCUGCCUUUGAGGUUUCAAGCGUCCUGGGGUUUGAAGAAAAUGAUGGCGAGGUUAAAGGAGAAAAUAAGUUACAUUACAGUUUCCAAAGUGGUUCUCACUCUCCGCUGAAGAUGGGCCACCGGCAGGGCUGAAAUGCACUCUCGGUCCCAGCUUGUGCUUUGCAAGAAGAGGGAAUAUAACUAGACUGGUUAUUUUAGGUUAAAAUAGCCAAGAGACAGACGCCUUCGCCUCAAAAAUAUUCUGAGACACAUACAAGUAGAAGGAAACAAGUCUCUUCAGUCACAAAAUGUCGUACAUCCCGCAUAUA
Callorhinus ursinus (northern fur seal) is the source of this 767-nucleotide non-coding RNA. Lineage: Eukaryota; Metazoa; Chordata; Mammalia; Carnivora; Otariidae. The record is from RefSeq and is a predicted model, not a curated record.